Molecule: long non-coding RNA, 796 nt
Filed under: Homo sapiens (human)
Lineage: Eukaryota; Metazoa; Chordata; Mammalia; Primates; Hominidae
Description: HSALNT0001390
Source: RNAcentral
CCCAGCCUGGGUGACAGAGCCAAACUCUGUCUCAAAAAAAAAAGAAAAAAAAAAAUUGCCUACAGAGCCCUGGAGACCCUUGCUGGUACUUAGAAAUCCCCAGUAUGGCUCCCUCUUCCUGUGAUGGGGGGCCCACACGUUGACCAUUGCACUCAGGCUCCCAGAGGUCGCAGAGCCAGUCCUGCCUCUCCCCAGGGAGCCCAGAGGUCCCAGAGCCAGCCCUUCCUCUCCCCAGGGAGCACACAGUCCCUGAGCUGGCUGACCUUGACAUCCCAUGUCAUUGCCUACAUGGAGGGACACUCCUCUGUGUCCCUCCUCCGCCCCCACCAACCUCCCGGGGACAGCUGGGCUGAUUCCCCAGCAAAUCCACAGCUCCCAGCAGUUCUCAGAUGCAGCCACACAGCCCACUGGGCUCUGCAAACACUUAGUUUCACAUGGAAGUCCCGGCCUACCCCAGAUGAAACAGUGACUCAACCAACAGCCUCAGGCCUCCCUCAGUCAGCUGCCUCUAAUACUCCUUUCCUCCUUAUCAAAUCCACCAUCUGAAACCCAAAAGAAAGGCAUCACAAUGAAACUACUUGCUAUCUGUUGUUUAAUUCACACUGAUUUAAUUAAGUGAUAAUGCUUCAUCAAUUAACUUUCCCUGUAGUGUUUUUAUUUUCAAAGAGAAGCUUAUAAGCCAAAAAGGAUUUUUCCUGUUUUUUGGAGACAGAGUCUUGUUCUGUCACCCAGGCUGGAGUGUAGUGGUGUGAUAGCUUACUGCAACCUCAGCCUCCAAGGUGAAAGUGAUUCUCCU